GGUUCCUAGACAUUCUCCUGUUCGGAGCCUGGGAUGAGAGUGAACUCACUUCACUCCAGUCUGCAACUCCGAGUUGCACUGCAAGGAGGACGACAUAUCGGGGUUCUCUCCAUGCAUCGAACAGGUGGCUGUCUGCAUGCUGUUUAGAGCAGAAGCACUCUGCAUGAGUAACUGUUCCUACACAGUCUCCUGGGUGGAAC
Molecule: long non-coding RNA, 200 nt
Filed under: Fukomys damarensis (Damara mole-rat)
Lineage: Eukaryota; Metazoa; Chordata; Mammalia; Rodentia; Bathyergidae
Description: lncRNA (ENSFDAG00000021928.1)
Source: RNAcentral